CUUUGGGGAGGGGGUGGGAGAGACGACAGGUCUGGGAUCAGGGAGUCUUCAAGGCCCCCGCUGAGGGGACAGCGAAUCUACCAUUGAACCGUGCACGGGGGACAUGGACGAAAUGAGACGCGACAGGGACAAGAGCAUUUUGCUCUGCUUCCAGGAAACAUCAAGUCUACUUCGCUUGAAAAGAUCGAGAAUGGGGGAGGGGAUCGUCACUCACUUGCAGACAUCAACAGUUUCCAGAAAACUCGGUUCAAUUCCUUCACCACGGACCCACCAACCAAGGAGCUGGCAAGACCCACCAGCCAACCAGGAGAACACAGACCCGGUUUGUCUUUUGACAACCGAGUGGAACUGACGGGGCCGGCGCCUGCCCUGCGGGUCCCCUCCCUUGGCUGAGAAGAAAACCAAAUAAACCUUGAACAGC
RNAcentral lists this non-coding RNA (421 nucleotides) under Pongo abelii (Sumatran orangutan). Lineage: Eukaryota; Metazoa; Chordata; Mammalia; Primates; Hominidae. The record is from RNAcentral.